RNAcentral lists this long non-coding RNA (266 nucleotides) under Phoenix dactylifera (date palm). Its description in RNAcentral is "long non-coding RNA (PDAC_LNC011396)". Lineage: Eukaryota; Viridiplantae; Streptophyta; Magnoliopsida; Arecales; Arecaceae. The record is from RNAcentral.
UCACUUUCGCAGGAAUCGCGAUUGCAUUUACCAUAUGCAAUAAGGCUUUAAACCUCUAGGUGGCCCUAGUGGACGAGUUUUGUCUCGUGAGGGUUUCCGGCUCAGAUACCUACAAAUUGUUGUCUCUACUCAAAGAGUUUAUUGUAUUAUUUUAUAAAAUCUAAUUUCAAAUGCAUAAGUGCCAAUAAUUUCAAAAGCACACAAAGUUUUAAUUACUAAGUCAGCCCAAAUCCUAGGUCAGUACGCAACUUAAGUUGAAGUUAUUA